AGAGAGAGACAUGCGCGCAUAUCAAUAAGCGGAGGAAAAGAAACUAACAAGGAUUCCCUUAGUAACGGCGAGUGAAGCGGGAAGAGCUCAAAUUUGAAAUCUUCAAGGUUCUACCUUGACGAAUUGUAGUUUAUAGAAGUGUUUUCUGUUAGUGGAGUGGCAAAAGUUCUUUGGAAUAGGACAUCAUAGAGGGUGAGAAUCCCGUAUUUGGUCAUUCCUCCUAGCGUUGUGAUACACUUUCAAAGAGUCGGAUUGUUUGGGAAUGCAGUCCAAAAUGGGUGGUAAAUUUCAUCUAAAGCUAAAUAUUGGCGAGAGACCGAUAGCGAACAAGUACCGUGAGGGAAAGAUGAAAGGAACUUUGAAAAGAGAGUUAAACAGUACGUGAAAUUGUCAAAAGGGAAGCGUUUGACACCAGUGUUGUUUUUCCGAAAAUCAAUUACGAAUGUUUUAUUUUUGAGGAGUUAUGACUUCAUCGGCUUGCUCCUUUCUUUAUGAAACUUUCUUAAUGCACUUUUCGGUUAACAAGUCAACAUCAAUUUCUUUUGUUGUAAAAAGGGUAUGAGGAAGGUAGCUUUCUUUUCGGAGAAAGUGUUUAUAGCCUUGUGCCUCUGCAAUCGGAGAGAUUGAGGUCUGCAGCGUAGAUCCUUCGGGGUUAGAUACAUUUGUGCUAAGUUAUAGCUUUUCAUAGACAACUUGUUGACUAUGUUUAGUCUUGUAGCUUACUCGCUGACGCUAUUUUACCUACGCUUAGGAUGUUGAUAGUCACAGCGUGUAC
RNAcentral lists this ribosomal RNA (775 nucleotides) under uncultured Neocallimastigales. RNAcentral describes it as "partial large subunit ribosomal RNA". It matches the Rfam family "Eukaryotic large subunit ribosomal RNA", at positions 23 to 644 of the family's 3401-position model. Lineage: Eukaryota; Fungi; Neocallimastigomycota; Neocallimastigomycetes; Neocallimastigales. The record is from RNAcentral.